UUCGGGGUACUCGAGUGGGUACNCGAACGGGUGAGUAACACGUGGGUGAUCUGCCCUGCACUUUGGGCUAAGCCUGGGAAACUGGGUCUAAUACCGAAUAGGACCACGCGCUUCAUGGUGUGUGGUGGAAAGCUUUUGCGGUGUGGGAUGGGCCCGCGGCCUAUCAGCUUGUUGGUGGGGUAAUGGCCUACCAAGGCGACGACGGGUAGCCGGCCUGAGAGGGUGACCGGCCACACUGGGACUGAGAUACGGCCCAGACUCCUACGGGAGGCAGCAGUGGGGAAUAUUGCACAAUGGGCGCAAGCCUGAUGCAGCGACGCCGCGUGAGGGAUGACGGCCUUCGGGUUGUAAACCUCUUUCAAUAGGGACGAAGCGCAAGUGACGGUACCUAUAGAAGAAGCACCGGCCAACUACGUGCCAGCAGCCGCGGUAAUACGUAGGGUGCGAGCGUUGUCCGGAAUUACUGGGCGUAAAGAGCUCGUAGGUGGUUUGUCGCGUUGUUCGUGAAAACUCACAGCUUAACUGUGGGCGUGCGGGCGAUACGGGCAGACUAGAGUACUGCAGGGGAGACUGGAAUUCCUGGUGUAGCGGUGGAAUGCGCAGAUAUCAGGAGGAACACCGGUGGCGAAGGCGGGUCUCUGGGCAGUAACUGACGCUGAGGAGCGAAAGCGUGGGGAGCGAACAGGAUUAGAUACCCUGGUAGUCCACGCNGUAAACGGUGGGUACUAGGUGUGGGUUCCUUCCUUGGGAUCCGUGCCGUAGCUAACGCAUUAAGUACCCCGCCUGGGGAGUACGGCCGCAAGGCUAAAACUCAAAGGAAUUGACGGGGGCCCGCACAAGCGGCGGAGCAUGUGGAUUAAUUCGAUGCAACGCGAAGAACCUUACCUGGGUUUGACAUGCACAGGACGCCGGCAGAGAUGUCGGUUCCCUUGUGGCCUGUGUGCAGGUGGUGCAUGGCUGUCGUCAGCUCGUGUCGUGAGAUGUUGGGUUAAGUCCCGCAACGAGCGCAACCCUUGUCCUAUGUUGCCAGCGGGUUAUGCCGGGGACUCGUAGGAGACUGCCGGGGUCAACUCGGAGGAAGGUGGGGAUGACGUCAAGUCAUCAUGCCCCUUAUGUCCAGGGCUUCACACAUGCUACAAUGGCCGGUACAAAGGGCUGCGAUGCCGUGAGGUGGAGCGAAUCCUUUCAAAGCCGGUCUCAGUUCGGAUCGGGGUCUGCAACUCGACCCCGUGAAGUCGGAGUCGCUAGUAAUCGCAGAUCAGCAACGCUGCGGUGAAUACGUUCCCGGGCCUUGUACACACCGCCCGUCACGUCAUGAAAGUCGGUAACACCCGAAGCCG
Molecule: ribosomal RNA, 1340 nt
Filed under: Mycobacterium sp. DWMJ-1769B4
Lineage: Bacteria; Bacillati; Actinomycetota; Actinomycetes; Mycobacteriales; Mycobacteriaceae
Description: bacterial SSU rRNA
Rfam family: Bacterial small subunit ribosomal RNA
Source: RNAcentral